UGUUUUUUGCUUGAUUCUAAUGUCCAAGGGAAUUUGGGUUUCUAUAUGACAUUCUUGUCUAUUGGAUUGCAGCUUAUUGGUCAGAUCUUUUCAACUCUUAACUUUUAAAUUUAUGCUUAGGAUUAGUCUCUUAAUCUCCUCCCCACUUCUUUAAUUUCAAAAUCUCACCCUCCUUUUAAAAACUUCUUUGUUUUUACUUUUU
RNAcentral lists this long non-coding RNA (202 nucleotides) under Lathyrus oleraceus (garden pea). RNAcentral's name for it is "Pisum sativum (pea) long non-coding RNA (PSAT_LNC026227)". The record is from RNAcentral. Lineage: Eukaryota; Viridiplantae; Streptophyta; Magnoliopsida; Fabales; Fabaceae.